UACGUAGGGGGCAAGCGUUAUCCGGAUUUACUGGGUGUAAAGGGAGCGUAGACGGCCAUGCAAGUCUGAUGUGAAAACCCGGGGCUCAACCCCGGGACUGCAUUGGAAACUGUGCGGCUGGAGUGUCGGAGAGGCAAGUGGAAUUCCUAGUGUAGCGGUGAAAUGCGUAGAUAUUAGGAGGAACACCAGUGGCGAAGGCGGCUUGCUGGGCCAUUACUGACGCUGAGACACGAAAGCGUGGGGAGCAAAUAGG
This 253-nucleotide ribosomal RNA is filed under the name uncultured Blautia sp. RNAcentral's name for it is "partial 16S ribosomal RNA". It matches the Rfam family "Bacterial small subunit ribosomal RNA", at positions 524 to 776 of the family's 1533-position model. Lineage: Bacteria; Bacillati; Bacillota; Clostridia; Lachnospirales; Lachnospiraceae. The record is from RNAcentral.